GAAAAAAAGAAAAAASAAAAVACASAAUUCGAUAAAAAAGGAUGAAUUGUGUUUUUUUUGUUUUUCUUC
Molecule: unclassified non-coding RNA, 69 nt
Filed under: Bovine ephemeral fever virus
Lineage: Riboviria; Orthornavirae; Negarnaviricota; Monjiviricetes; Mononegavirales; Rhabdoviridae
Description: trailer RNA
Source: RNAcentral